GCGGGGGUGGCUGAGCGGUCAAAAGCGCAGGACUUAAGAUCCUGUGGGUUAGUCCCUUCGAGGGUUCAAAUCCCUUCCCCCGCA
Molecule: transfer RNA, 84 nt
Filed under: archaeon CG10_big_fil_rev_8_21_14_0_10_43_11
Lineage: Archaea
Description: tRNA-Leu
Rfam family: tRNA
About the family: Transfer RNA (tRNA) molecules are approximately 80 nucleotides in length. Their secondary structure includes four short double-helical elements and three loops (D, anti-codon, and T loops).
Source: RNAcentral